RNAcentral lists this ribosomal RNA (468 nucleotides) under uncultured bacterium. RNAcentral's name for it is "partial 16S ribosomal RNA". It matches the Rfam family "Bacterial small subunit ribosomal RNA", at positions 28 to 507 of the family's 1533-position model. The record is from RNAcentral.
GACGAACGCUGGCGGCGUGCUUAACACAUGCAAGUCGAACGGAAAGGCCCUGCUUUUGUGGGGUGCUCGAGUGGCGAACGGGUGAGUAACACGUGAGUAACCUGCCCUUGACUUUGGGAUAACUUCAGGAAACUGGGGCUAAUACCGGAUAGGAGCUCCUGCUGCAUGGUGGGGGUUGGAAAGUUUCGGCGGUUGGGGAUGGACUCGCGGCUUAUCAGCUUGUUGGUGGGGUAGUGGCUUACCAAGGCUUUGACGGGUAGCCGGCCUGAGAGGGUGACCGGCCACAUUGGGACUGAGAUACGGCCCAGACUCCUACGGGAGGCAGCAGUGGGGAAUACUGCACAAUGGGCGGAAGCCUGAUGCAGCAACGCCGCGUGCGGGAUGACGGCCUUCGGGUUGUAAACCGCGUUCGCCUGUGACGAAGCGUGAGUGACGGUAAUGGGUAAAGAAGCACCGGCUAACUACGUG